AGAGUUUGAUCAUGGCUCAGAACGUACGCUGGCGGCACGCCUUAUACAUGCAAGUCGAACGAAGUAGCAAUACUUAGUGGCAGACGGGUGAGUAACAUGUGGGUAUCUUCCCUUUGGUGAGGAAUAACACGAGGAAACUUGUGCUAAUACCUCAUAAGUCUUUACGGAGAAAGCUUUAUGCGCCAAUGGAUGAGCCCGCACUUGAUUAGUUUGUUGGUGGGGUAAUGGCCUACCAAGACUUUGAUCAAUAGCUGAUUUGAGAGGAUGAUCAGCCACAUUGGGACUGAGACACGGCCCAAACUCCUACGGGAGGCAGCAGUAAGGAAUCUUGCACAAUGGAGGAAACUCUGAUGCAGCGAUGCCGCGUGAGUGAAGAAGGCCUUUGGGUUGUAAAGCUCUUUCGUCGGGGAAGAAAAUGACUGUACCCGAAUAAGAAGGUCCGGCUAACUUCGUGCCAGCAGCCGCGGUAAUACGAAGGGACCUAGCGUAGUUCGGAAUUACUGGGCUUAAAGAGUUCGUAGGUGGUUAAAAAAGUUGGUAGUGAAAUCCCAGAGCUUAACUCUGGAACUGCUAUCAAAACUUUUUAGCUAGAGUAUGAUAGAGGAAAGCAGAAUUUCUAGUGUAGAGGUGAAAUUCGUAGAUAUUAGAAAGAAUACCAAUUGCGAAGGCAGCUUUCUGGAUCAUUACUGACACUGAGGAACGAAAGCAUGGGUAGCGAAGAGGAUUAGAUACCCUCGUAGUCCAUGCUGUAAACGAUGUGUGUUAGACGUUGGAAAUUUAUUUUCAGUGUCGCAGCGAAAGCGAUAAACACACCGCCUGGGGAGUACGACCGCAAGGUUAAAACUCAAAUGAAUUGACGGGGACCCGCACAAGUAGUGGAGCAUGUGGUUUAAUUCGAAGAUACGCGCAGAACCUUACCAACACUUGACAUGUUCGUCGCGACUUUAAGAGAUUAAAGUUUUCGGUUCGGCCGGACGAAACACAGGUGCUGCAUGGCUGUCGUCAGCUCGUGUCGUGAGAUGUUGGGUUAAGUCCCGUAACGAGCGCAACCCUCACUUUUAGUUGCCAUCAUUAAGUUGGGCACUCUGAAAGAACUGCCAGUGAUAAGCUGGAGGAAGGUGGGGAUGACGUCAAGUCCUCAUGGCCCUUACGUGUUGGGCUACACACGUGCUACAAUGGUAUCUACAACAGGAAGCAAGACUGCGAAGUUAAGCAAAUCCUUAAAAGAUACCUCAGUUCGGAUUGCACUCUGCAACUCGAGUGCAUGAAGCUGGAAUUACUAGUAAUCGUGGAUCAGCGUGCCACGGUGAAUGCGUUCCCGGGUCUUGUAGACAC
RNAcentral lists this ribosomal RNA (1335 nucleotides) under uncultured bacterium. RNAcentral describes it as "bacterial SSU rRNA". It matches the Rfam family "Bacterial small subunit ribosomal RNA". The record is from RNAcentral.